CCGCACCUCAAGUGGUCAGGAUGAUUAUUGGGCCUAAAGCGUCCGUAGCCGGCUCUGUAAGUUUUCGGUUAAAUCUGUACGCUCAACGUACAGGCUGCCGGGAAUACUGCAGAGCUAGGGAGUGGGAGAGGUAGACGGUACUCGGUAGGAAGGGGUAAAAUCCUUUGAUCUAUUGAUGACCACCUGUGGCGAAGGCGGUCUACCAGAACACGUCCGACGGUGAGGGAUGAAAGCUGGGGGAGCAAACCGGAUUAGAUACCCGUGUAGUCC
Molecule: ribosomal RNA, 270 nt
Filed under: uncultured archaeon
Lineage: Archaea
Description: partial 16S ribosomal RNA
Rfam family: Archaeal small subunit ribosomal RNA
Source: RNAcentral